GCACUAGUAGCUCAGGAAAGAGAGCGUCGGUCUUGUAAACCGGAAGCCGGAGGUUAGUUCCUCCCUAAUGCU
RNAcentral lists this transfer RNA (72 nucleotides) under Zebrias crossolepis. Its description in RNAcentral is "tRNA-Thr". It matches the Rfam family "tRNA". From Rfam's summary of the family: Transfer RNA (tRNA) molecules are approximately 80 nucleotides in length. Their secondary structure includes four short double-helical elements and three loops (D, anti-codon, and T loops). Lineage: Eukaryota; Metazoa; Chordata; Actinopteri; Pleuronectiformes; Soleidae. The record is from RNAcentral.